Molecule: ribosomal RNA, 229 nt
Filed under: uncultured bacterium
Lineage: Bacteria
Description: partial 16S ribosomal RNA
Rfam family: Bacterial small subunit ribosomal RNA
Source: RNAcentral
UACGUAGGCGGAAAAUUAAGUCAGUAGUGAAAUCCUGCAGCUUAACUGUAGAACUGUUAUUGAUACUGGUUUUCUUGAAUAUAGUUGAGGUAGGCGGAAUGUGUAAUGUAGCGGUGAAAUGCUUGGAUAUUACACAGAACACCGAUUGCGAAGGCAGCUUACUAAGCUAUGAUUGACGCUGAGGUACGAAAGCGUGGGGAGCGAACAGGAUUAGAUACCCUGGUAGUCC